CCGGUGUGUGUUGCUACGGGCUGCAGUAGGUAGCUGGCGUCUGGUUUGUGGAUCUGGGCAAUUGGUGGUGUGUGCCCGACGGAUCAGACACAUAGGAUCUAGACAUGCAGCGCGGUUGGUGAGUGGCUUGGUGUGGCUGUUGUUCUAGUCGUGGGCAGCGAGAACGUGGUGUGGCUCCACUCCUGGGUGCAGUGGCCUCUCUACGGCGUGGUGGCUCCACGGAAGAUUAGCGGGCUCGGUUGUAGCAACGAGUGGCAUUUGGCCCAACGUCGGCUCCUCUGCAAGCGGCAUGUUUCUUCCCUCAAUCAUGCCCCUCUUGUUGCGUGUGUUAUUGUCACCGAAGGGCUGGUACCCUUCUCGCCAUCGUCCAUCAUUGAAGGAUUAUUCCGUCGCGAGGGGGGAGUCAU
RNAcentral lists this long non-coding RNA (407 nucleotides) under Hordeum vulgare. RNAcentral describes it as "long non-coding RNA (HVUL_LNC008909)". Lineage: Eukaryota; Viridiplantae; Streptophyta; Magnoliopsida; Poales; Poaceae. The record is from RNAcentral.